Molecule: ribosomal RNA, 497 nt
Filed under: uncultured bacterium
Lineage: Bacteria
Description: partial 16S ribosomal RNA
Rfam family: Bacterial small subunit ribosomal RNA
Source: RNAcentral
GAUGAACGCUGGCGGCGUGCCUAAUACAUGCAAGUCGAGCGAACGGACGAGAAGCUUGCUUCUCUGAUGUUAGCGGCGGACGGGUGAGUAACACGUGGAUAACCUACCUAUAAGACUGGGAUAACUUCGGGAAACCGGAGCUAAUACCGGAUAAUAUUUUGAACCGCAUGGUUCAAAAGUGAAAGACGGUCUUGCUGUCACUUAUAGAUGGAUCCGCGCUGCAUUAGCUAGUUGGUAAGGUAACGGCUUACCAAGGCAACGAUGCAUAGCCGACCUGAGAGGGUGAUCGGCCCCCCUGGAACUGAGACACGGUCCAGACUCCUACGGGAGGCCGCAGUAGGGAAUCUUCCGCAAUGGGCGAAAGCCUGACGGAGCAACGCCGCGUGAGUGAUGACGGUCUUCGGAUCGUAAAACUCUGUUAUUAGGGAAGAACAUAUGUGUAAGUAACUGUGCACAUCUUGACGGUACCUAAUCAGAAAGCCACGGCUAACUACGUG